AGCCCAACUCUAGCCCAACGCCCAAACCCUUACGACCAACAAAAAUCAACCACUGCCCUAAACCAAAACAUUUUUUCCCUCCUAGUAUAGGCGAUAGAAAAGACCCUUAAUGGCGCCAUAGAGACUUGUACCGCAAGGGAAAGAUGAAAUAACAAUGAAAACCUAAGCAAUGAACAGCAAAGAUACACCCUUGUACCUUUUGCAUCAUGAUUUAGCAAGAAUAACCAAGCAAAGUGAACUUAAGUUUGCCCCCCCGAAACCUACGCGAGCUACUUGUAAGCAGCUAUCUAUGAGCGAACCCGUCUCUGUGACAAAAGAGUGGGAUGACUUACUAGUAGAGGUGAAAAUCCAACCGAGCUGGGUGAUAGCUGGUUGCCUGUGAAAUGAACCCUAGUUCCCCCCUGACCGGCACCCCUUGGAAAACUAAAUUGAACCGACAUGUAAGCUAUCAGGAGCAAAUUAAAGGAGGUACAGCUCCUUUAAAGUGGAUACAACCCCCAUUAGCGGAUAACUCUAUUCCCUUCUAGCUGUGGGCCUUCAAGCAGCCACCAACAAAGAUUGCGUCAAAGCUCAAAACCACCAAAAACCCACACACAACCACGACUCCCUUCACAUUAACAGGCCAACCUAUUACAUAUAGGAGAAUUAAUGCUAAAAUAAGUAACUAGGGCCCCUCCCCCUCUAAAGCGCAAACUUACAUCCCACAUUAUUAACAAAUCACCCAAUACCUAAACAUUAACAAGACUAGGUAUUCACGGCCCCUGUUACCCCGACUCCGGAGCGCUCCCUAGAAAGAUUAAAAUCUGUAAAAGGAACUAGGCAAACCCGAGGCCCGACUGUUUACCAAAAACAUAGCCUUUAGCAAACCAAGUAUUAAAGGUGAUGCCUGCCCAGUGACACCAUGUUAAACGGCCGCGGUAUUCUAACCGUGCAAAGGUAGCGCAAUCAAUUGUCCCAUAAAUCGAGACUUGUAUGAAUGGCUAAACGAGGUCUCAACUGUCUCUUACAGAUAAUCAGUGAAAUUGAUCUCCCCGUGCAAAAGCAGGGAUAAACCCAUAAGACGAGAAGACCCUGUGGAACUUUAAAAUCAACAGCCACCGCACGUCAAAUCACGCCCUACUAGGCCCACUACCUGAACCUAUGGCUGAUAUUUUUCGGUUGGGGCGACCUUGGAGAAAAACCAAUCCUCCAAAAAUAAGACCUAACCUCUUAACUAAGAACAACCCCUCAACGUACAAAUAGUAACCAGACCCAAUAUAAUUGACCAAUGAACCAAGCUACCCCAGGGAUAACAGCGCAAUCUCCUUCAAGAGCCCAUAUCGACAAGGAGGUUUACGACCUCGAUGUUGGAUCAGGACACCCUGAUGGUGCAGCCGCUAUCAAGGGUUCGUUUGUUCAACGAUUAACAGUCCUACGUGAUCUGAGUUCAGACCGGAGUAAUCCAGGUCGGUUUCUAUCUAUGACGAGCUUCCCCCAGUACGAAAGGACCGGAGAAGCGGGGCCCAGGCUACAAGCAAGCCCCCACACCAAAGUAGUGAAACUAACUAAACUACGAAAGAACCACCCACCAUAAUGUCCAAGAAAAGGACCG
RNAcentral lists this ribosomal RNA (1591 nucleotides) under Ceyx cyanopectus (Indigo-banded kingfisher). RNAcentral's name for it is "16S ribosomal RNA". It matches the Rfam family "Bacterial large subunit ribosomal RNA", at positions 258 to 2837 of the family's 2925-position model. Lineage: Eukaryota; Metazoa; Chordata; Aves; Coraciiformes; Alcedinidae. The record is from RNAcentral.